UAAACAGAUGCUCGCUGGUUUGGGCGCUUAGCUGUUAACUAAGAGUUUACGGGAUCGAGGCCCGUCUGUUUAG
This 73-nucleotide transfer RNA is filed under the name Inegocia japonica (rusty flathead). RNAcentral describes it as "tRNA-Asn". The record is from RNAcentral. Lineage: Eukaryota; Metazoa; Chordata; Actinopteri; Perciformes; Platycephalidae.